This 257-nucleotide ribosomal RNA is filed under the name Alexandrium margalefii. RNAcentral's name for it is "partial Bacterial large subunit ribosomal RNA". It matches the Rfam family "Bacterial large subunit ribosomal RNA", at positions 1360 to 1723 of the family's 2925-position model. The record is from RNAcentral. Lineage: Eukaryota; Dinophyceae; Gonyaulacales; Pyrocystaceae.
UAAAGCUAAUCUGAGCAGGGUAAGCCGACCCCUAAGGCGAGGCCGAAAGGCGUAGUCGAUGGGAACCAGGUUAAUAUUCCUGGGCCAGAUGGAAGUGACGGAUCGGAAAGGUUGUUCAUCCUUAUCGGAUUGGAUGGGCAGCUCACCGGUCCCUGGAAAUAGCUCCAUCAUGAGAUCGUACCCUAAACCGACACAGGUGGACUGGUAGAGAAUACCAAGGCGCUUGAGAGAACGAUGUUGAAGGAACUCGGCAAAAU